This 128-nucleotide transfer RNA is filed under the name Euroglyphus maynei. It matches the Rfam family "tRNA". Rfam says of the family: Transfer RNA (tRNA) molecules are approximately 80 nucleotides in length. Their secondary structure includes four short double-helical elements and three loops (D, anti-codon, and T loops). Lineage: Eukaryota; Metazoa; Arthropoda; Arachnida; Sarcoptiformes; Pyroglyphidae. The record is from Rfam by way of RNAcentral.
GCGGGUGUGGUGUAAUGGUUAUCACGUUAGACUGAAGAGUAUAUUUUCGUAUCCGGUAGAAUAACCGGAUACCCGAAAUGAGCAUCUCGGCCAUCUAAAGGUUCAUGGUUCGAUUCCGUGUACCCGCA